RNAcentral lists this transfer RNA (69 nucleotides) under Ictidomys tridecemlineatus (thirteen-lined ground squirrel). Its description in RNAcentral is "Spermophilus tridecemlineatus (thirteen-lined ground squirrel) tRNA". It matches the Rfam family "tRNA". Rfam says of the family: Transfer RNA (tRNA) molecules are approximately 80 nucleotides in length. Their secondary structure includes four short double-helical elements and three loops (D, anti-codon, and T loops). The record is from Rfam by way of RNAcentral. Lineage: Eukaryota; Metazoa; Chordata; Mammalia; Rodentia; Sciuridae.
GGGGUUGUAGCUCAUUGAUAGAGCACUCACCUCGCAUGUGUGAGGCCCUGGGUUCAAUCCUCAGCACCA